Molecule: microRNA, 22 nt
Filed under: Medicago truncatula (barrel medic)
Lineage: Eukaryota; Viridiplantae; Streptophyta; Magnoliopsida; Fabales; Fabaceae
Description: mtr-miR2592bl-5p
Source: miRBase by way of RNAcentral
UGGCAAGUUUGAAUUUACCUCA